GCGAGGAUGGCGGAAUGGCAGACGCGCCGGGUUUAGGUUCCGGUUGGUUAACACCAGUGGAGGUUCGAGUCCUCUUCCUCGCA
This 83-nucleotide transfer RNA is filed under the name Myxococcales bacterium. RNAcentral's name for it is "tRNA-Leu". It matches the Rfam family "tRNA". Rfam says of the family: Transfer RNA (tRNA) molecules are approximately 80 nucleotides in length. Their secondary structure includes four short double-helical elements and three loops (D, anti-codon, and T loops). Lineage: Bacteria; Pseudomonadati; Myxococcota; Myxococcia; Myxococcales. The record is from RNAcentral. RNAcentral also lists the same sequence under 1 other name.